UUCCCUGUGGCUCAGUUGGUAGAGCAUGGUGUUUGCAACGUCAGCAUGGUGUGUGUGCAAUGCCAGGGUUGUGGGUUCGAUUCCCACGGGGGACC
Salmo salar (Atlantic salmon) is the source of this 95-nucleotide non-coding RNA. The record is from Rfam. NCBI's taxonomy places the organism in Eukaryota, Metazoa, Chordata, Actinopteri, Salmoniformes, Salmonidae.